CAGAAAUCAUUAAAAAUGAACUCUGCAAGCAAAGUUGGCGAGAUUUUCCUUGCUGCAGGGAGCUCCUACAGCAAACUUGGGGAUGCCAUUAUGUCUCUGUACAACUGUACAGAUGAACCAGAUGGCAGCAACCCUGCGAAGGAAGGAAUUGAAACUGAUGAUACUUCAAACAAUCAAACUUUUGUUUCCAAACACCCAAUCCAACUCCCAUACUCUCAACACAAGCAAGAAUAGUCGUCCAACACUCCUGACAAGAUUUGUUUAUCUUAAAAUCAAAUUUUUAUAUUUUCUAAUACAAACCCGACCUAACACACAUAGCUGCCUUAUCCCAACUUAUCAACAAUAGCAAUGAUUAAUAUGCAAAAAGAAAUUCAGAACAAUUUUAAUAGCCCACGUUUGGUGAACAACAUCUGUGAACUCACCAAUUCCAAAUUCAUUUUAAAUCAAACAAUAAAAGAAUAUUUAAAGGAAUACUUUUUAAAUUCACUUUGUAUGUGUAACUGAAACUGUAACUGUAACUGCAACUGUAACUGCAACCGUAACUAUAAUUGUAACUGUAACUUCCAAAUCUAGACUUUUUACAUAAAUUGAGAAAUAUCAAAAUUUACUAUUGAUAGAACUAUGUAGUAACUUUUCAACCAUGCAUUAUUUUCAUAAAGCAAUAGCCACUAGACAGGGCAAAAUUUAUUUUUAAAUUCUUUUUUUAUCGUGUGCACUCAAAUAUUUUGUUUACUUUUACUUUGUGUUUUUUUAAAUUUGUAAAUUUGUUAACGAAAAUUAAAGCAUAAAUAUUCGUUAUUUUUUAACUUAAAAAUGACUUAAACUUCUGCAUGUUUAGUAAGUUUUGAAUUUUUCUUGAAUCAGGCAUCAAUGCUGACUACACCAUGUAUGCACAUAUUUAUUAAAGAGACUGUACACCCAUUUCCAAUCCCUUUUAAACUAAUUGAUAAUUCCUCAACCAUAAACCAUAUUUUGGGAAAUGUUUAUAAAUUGCUUUUAUCGUGUAUUUAAAUACAACAUUUUACCUUGAA
This 1031-nucleotide long non-coding RNA is filed under the name Eurytemora carolleeae. RNAcentral's name for it is "uncharacterized LOC111708527". Lineage: Eukaryota; Metazoa; Arthropoda; Copepoda; Calanoida; Temoridae. The record is from RNAcentral.